RNAcentral lists this ribosomal RNA (468 nucleotides) under uncultured Carnobacteriaceae bacterium. RNAcentral describes it as "bacterial SSU rRNA". It matches the Rfam family "Bacterial small subunit ribosomal RNA", at positions 335 to 795 of the family's 1533-position model. Lineage: Bacteria; Bacillati; Bacillota; Bacilli; Lactobacillales; Carnobacteriaceae. The record is from RNAcentral.
UUUCCUACGGGGGGCUGCAGUAGGGAAUCUUCCGCAAUGGACGAAAGUCUGACGGAGCAACGCCGCGUGAGUGAAGAAGGUUUUCGGAUCGUAAAACUCUGUUGUCAGAGAAGAACAAGUCGGAGAGUAACUGCUCCGGCCUUGACGGUAUCUGACCAGAAAGCCACGGCUAACUACGUGCCAGCAGCCGCGGUAAUACGUAGGUGGCAAGCGUUGUCCGGAUUUAUUGGGCGUAAAGCGAGCGCAGGCGGUUCCUUAAGUCUGAUGUGAAAGCCCACGGCUCAACCGUGGAAGGUCAUUGGAAACUGGGGAACUUGAGUGCAGAAGAGGAGAGUGGAAUUCCAUGUGUAGCGGUGAAAUGCGUAGAUAUAUGGAGGAACACCAGUGGCGAAGGCGACUCUCUGGUCUGUAACUGACGCUGAGGCUCGAAAGCGUGGGGAGCAAACAGGAUUAGAUACCCUAGUAGUC